Molecule: unclassified non-coding RNA, 355 nt
Filed under: soil metagenome
Description: partial contains 5.8S ribosomal RNA, internal transcribed spacer 2, and large subunit ribosomal RNA
Rfam family: 5.8S ribosomal RNA (bases 1-120)
Source: RNAcentral
GAUGAAGAACGUAGCGAAGUGCGAUAAGUAGUGUGAAUUGCAGAAUUCAGUGAAUCAUCGAAUCUUUGAACGCACAUUGCGCCUUCUAGUAUUCUGGGAGGCAUGCCUGUUUGAGCGUCAUUAAACCUCUCUCAAGUAUGAUUACUUGGAUGUGAAGGAAGAGUACCUUAAACUUAAGGAGUGUUCUCCUUUGAAAUUGAUUAGCAGAUGGUAAUGUUAUUAAAUCCCUGAUGUUGUAAGAAAUAACAGUGGUUUUGUAGACUAUUAUCUAGCUUUAAAUUAUAAUUUUUAUUAUGGUUGACCUCAAAUCAGGUAAGGAUACCCGCUGAACUUAAGCAUAUCAAUAAGCGGAGGA